GGCUGUGAAUGGUGACCAAAACCGC
This 25-nucleotide non-coding RNA is filed under the name Arabidopsis thaliana (thale cress). The record is from RNAcentral. Lineage: Eukaryota; Viridiplantae; Streptophyta; Magnoliopsida; Brassicales; Brassicaceae.